GACGAACGCUGGCGGCGUGCCUAAUACAUGCAAGUAGAACGCUGAAGGAGGAGCUUGCUCUUCUGGAUGAGUUGCGAACGGGUGAGUAACGCGUAGGUAACCUGCCUGGUAGCGGGGGAUAACUAUUGGAAACGAUAGCUAAUACCGCAUAACAGUAGAUGUUGCAUGACAUUUGCUUAAAAGGUGCAAUUGCACCACUACCAGAUGGACCUGCGUUGUAUUAGCUAGUUGGUGGGGUAACGGCUCACCAAGGCGACGAUACAUAGCCGACCUGAGAGGGGGAUCGGCCACACUGGGACGGAGACACGGCCCAGACUCCUACGGGAGGCAGCAGUAGGGAAUCUUCGGCAAUGGACGGAAGUCUGACCGAGCAACGCCGCGUGAGUGAAGAAGGUUUUCGGAUCGUAAAGCUCUGUUGUAAGAGAAGAACGAGUGUGAGAGUGGAAAGUUCACACUGUGACGGUAGCUUACCAGAAAGGGACGGCUAACUACGUG
Molecule: ribosomal RNA, 495 nt
Filed under: uncultured bacterium
Lineage: Bacteria
Description: partial 16S ribosomal RNA
Rfam family: Bacterial small subunit ribosomal RNA
Source: RNAcentral